UGGAUCCAGACUUUGAUUAUGGCUCAGGAUGAACGCUAGCUACAGGCUUAACACAUGCAAGUCGAGGGGAAACGAUAGGAAAAGCUUGCUUUUUCUAGGCGUCGACCGGCGCACGGGUGAGUAACGCGUAUCCAACCUGCCCAUCACUUGGGGAUAACCUUGCGAAAGUAAGACUAAUACCCAAUGAUAUCUCUAGAAGACAUCUGAAGGAGAUUAAAGAUUUAUCGGUGAUGGAUGGGGAUGCGUCUGAUUAGCUUGUUGGCGGGGUAACGGCCCACCAAGGCAACGAUCAGUAGGGGUUCUGAGAGGAAGGUCCCCCACAUUGGAACUGAGACACGGUCCAAACUCCUACGGGAGGCAGCAGUGAGGAAUAUUGGUCAAUGGACGAGAGUCUGAACCAGCCAAGUAGCGUGCAGGAUGACGGCCCUAUGGGUUGUAAACUGCUUUUAUAAGGGAAUAAAGUGAGUCUCGUGAGACUUUUUGCAUGUACCUUAUGAAUAAGGACCGGCUAAUUCCGUGCCAGCAGCCGCGGUAAUACGGAAGGUCCGGGCGUUAUCCGGAUUUAUUGGGUUUAAAGGGAGCGUAGGCCGGAGAUUAAGCGUGUCGUGAAAUGUAGACGCUCAACGUCUGCACUGCAGCGCGAACUGGUUUCCUUGAGUACGCACAAAGUGGGCGGAAUUCGUGGUGUAGCGGUGAAAUGCUUAGAUAUCACGAAGAACUCCGAUUGCGAAGGCAGCUCACUGGAGCGCAACUGACGCUGAAGCUCGAAAGUGCGGGUAUCGAACAGGAUUAGAUACCCUGGUAGUCCGCACGGUAAACGAUGGAUGCCCGCUGUUGGUCUGAAUAGGUCAGCGGCCAAGCGAAAGCAUUAAGCAUCCCACCUGGGGAGUACGCCGGCAACGGUGCAACUCAAAUGAAUUGACGGA
Molecule: ribosomal RNA, 926 nt
Filed under: uncultured organism
Description: bacterial SSU rRNA
Rfam family: Bacterial small subunit ribosomal RNA
Source: RNAcentral